Non-coding RNA from Sus scrofa (pig), 10466 nucleotides. Lineage: Eukaryota; Metazoa; Chordata; Mammalia; Artiodactyla; Suidae. The record is from RefSeq and is a predicted model, not a curated record.
CCAUUCAUCUUUUGAUAGACAUUUAGAUGGUUUCCAUGUCUUGGCUAUUGUGAAUAGUGCUGUAAUGAACAUAGAGGUACAUAUAUCUUUUUAGAUUACAGUUUUGUCUGGAUAUAUGCCCUCUACUUAUAAUUGAUGAAGUGUAUGUGCUAGUUCCCUCUAUUGACACAACUCCUGUUUUUGACCCUGUGUUCUGUAUGCAAUAACCGUCAUCCCUGACUGAAUUUGCCCAACCUCUGGUUUUGGCUUCUCUGACCCACUUUGACCAUUUGCUACCUAAAGCCCAACUUCACUAGAGCCUAAUGUGCUGGCUCAUUUGCCUACUAGCUCUCAAAUCCAUUUACUCCUUGCCGUUCUCUUGUUCUAUCUGUGUGGAAAGAAGCUGAUUCCUGCCAACUCCAUUUCCUAGACUCACUUGCUCAUGCCAAAAAGGAGCUAGGACAGGGAAAGAUAAAAAGAUAAAUUAGGAACACUGGCAGAAGAAGAGGAGAAGCCAAGGAGUUUCUCCUCUGAUUCAGAGAACUUCUCCCACAGUGACUGCUUCUCCUCUGUGAUUCACAUUCUAGGUCCAGCCAGGAACAGUGGCUCCAGGGCUUUGUUAACUCAACCCCUCUGCUGAUCUCUCCAAUCCUGGGGAUGGAUGGCAGAGGUUUUCUGCUGUUGCUCCUCACUGGUUGCUCCUCCUUCCCCAGUUUGGCUUUCCAGCCCACCCAACACUUUUGUCACCAGUUCCUCGUGUUGUAUUCCCUCAGCUGAACUGCCUCACUUGGGCCCUGAUUUUGGACUGGUCUCCAAAGGCAGGGCCUGGCAAGUUUUUAGGCAAAGAACCAAAUGAUUGUCAUCAUCACAGAAAAACUUGUGAAGGUAUUUCAAGGCUCGCAUCCCAGAACUCCCAGCAGAGUUAUAAAAUAAUGAAUGAAUGGGCUGUUGGAAAUAUGUAAUACAGUAGAAACACAGUCAUUUAAUUUUUUUAAAAGGGACUUUCAUUUAGUUCUUCUCUUCAUUCAUUAGUCAUCUCCCAUCAGUAGGGAAGCCAUAGGGAAUGGAGCAGAGUGAACAAAGAAUCCUGCCCAUACUGAGUCCAAAAUAGUUCCAAGCAGAUUUGCCUACACAAAAGAAAAAUGUAAUCAGCACCCAGCAUAGGUAACAGAAUACAUUUAACUCUGCUAACAUUAAAUAACAUCUGCUCUCCCCACAGAAACUCUCUCCCUGCAUUAAUUUAAUCUUUCCACAACACAAAAGCAGUCACACUUAUUGCAUAGAAGAGUCUAGCACAGUUGUUAGUGGCUGAGAUGGUCACUCCUAGUUACCCAUCCUUGAAGAUAGAUUUCAGAAUCAAGAGUUUUGUACUCUGGGAAAGGUCACAGCUACAGUUUCAGGACCUUGGGUGAGAUUCAGUUUAUUAUGUCUACCUUCUAAGUAAAUUAUUUUCCAGUUUUGUUGGAAUAGAGCAGAAGUAGAAGUCACAAGGGGGACUAGUUUCAUUCUUCAGCCAGUGAUAGGCAUGUGUUAGAUUCCUAGCACCACUGUAAUAGAGGACCAAAGGACUAGGGGGCUUAUAACAGAAAUGGUCUCCCAGAGUUCCCCUUGUGGCACAGUGGAAACGAACCUGACUAAUAACUAUAAGGCUGUGGGUUUGAUCCCUGGCCUCACCAGUGGUUUAAGGAUCUGGCAUUCCUAUGAGCUGUGGUGUAGAUCACAGACUUAGCUCAGAUCCCACAUUGCUAUAACUGUGGCAUAGGCUGUCAGCUGUAGCUCCUAUUGAUUCCCUAGCCUGGGAAUUUACAUAUGCUGAGGGUGCAGCCCUAAAAAGAAAAAAAGAAAUGGUUUCCCAGUUCUGGAGACUAGAAGUCCGAGAUCAAGGUACUGGCCAGUCUGCUUCCUGCUGAGACUGUGAGGGGAGGAGCCAUUCCAGGCCCCUCUCCUAGUUUCCUGUGACUUGUUAUUAAUCUCUGUUCCUUGGUUUUCAGAAGCAGCAUCUUCCUCACUGUCUUCAUCUUCACAGUCAAACAUUGACCAUGUGGUGGUAUUUAAGGUUGCAUAUGUAUAUAAAGAAAACUAAGCACUUCUUGUACAUUUACUUUUAUGGCCUGAAAUGGUAUCUGCUACUCGGAGGGAAAAGGAGAUCUGGGUUAAAGUCAGGAGUCUCUCUUGCAGGCUGUGUGCACCACUGGGCAAUGACUCAGCCUUUGUGAACCUUGAGUUCCUCAUCAUUAAAAUGGGUAUGUUAAUAUUAGAUUUAACAUAUGAAACAACACUUUUGUAGGUCAAAAAUUGUUGAGUAUCAGCUAUUUCAUAUGAUUCAACUUAAUACCUACUUCACAGAUAUAGGAAAAAACUAAAUAAGAUAAUAUUGUAGCACUGUCCCUGGUGUUUGGUAAAUCAUAAGUACAUGAUUUAUUAAAAUGUAUAUAAAUAAAACCCUAUGGCCUAAUGGUCGUAGUACAACCUAAGCUUAAAAUAUCUGCCCUCUCUGCCAUACAGAACAUGAAUUGCCUAUCAGGAGUCUUCUUUUUUCCUUCCUUCUUUCUUUUCUCCUUCUUUCUUCUUCUUCUCAAAAUUUAAUUUUUAUUCUCUUUCUUCUAUUUCUUUUUAAUGUUUUUUUUUUAAAUAGCUAAUAUGCUUUCAUGGUUCAAAACUCAAAAAGUGUGUAAAAGAAAACCUCUCCCAUAGCAUCACUGUCCUUUAUCUGUCCAGAGUAUUAUGUCUUAUCUAUUUUCCUGAUAUUAAGCACAUUCAAAUGUGUAUACUGUGUGAGUUCUAAAAAUAGCUUUAAAAUAUCUGUAUUUAUAUGAAUAUGAUAUAUGCAUAUUUGUAGUCUAAGACUCUCAGUUUAUGAACAAAUAGCUGAGGCCCACAGAAAUGCAGCCCCUUUGCCUGGAGUCAUUCAGAAUCAGUAAGACUUGCAUAUUAAUUAUACUUAUCUGGCACUCUAUGAGACCUCACAUUACAAAUAUUCACUUUAAAUGUAAAUAAUCUAUUUUUUUAGGCAAAUAAAAUCUUAUUUAUUUAUUUAUUUAUUUAUUGGCAAUGGAAGUCAGGUCAAAGUGCCUCAUUAUUCAAGCUUCGUAUUUGUGAAUUCUCCUACCUGCUAAUGAUUUACUUAUCAUCCCCAAAUAGAUAUCCAUGACAUUUUCCUAGUCAUUCCCAGAUAUGAGUAGAGGGACAAAAAAAUUUGAGUUGCUGAUUGUACACGUUCCCAGGUGAGGUCAAACAAGAUGACACUUGGCCUUCUUAUUUCAGGUCUCAUGCUAUGAACAAGAGUCCUUUUUGUGAUCUAUUUAAUGCUACAUGUUUCACAUUUCUGUGCUUUUAAUGGGUGAUUUUUGCUAUUUAAAAUGGCCCCUGUGAGUUCCCAUUGUGGCUCAGCAGUAACAAAUCCAAAUGGUAUCUAUGAGGACUUGGGUUCAGUCCCUGGCCCCACUCAAUGGGUUAAGGAUCAGGUAUUGAUAUAAGCUGUGGUGUAGGUAGCAGAUGCGGCUUGGAUUCCAUGUUACUGAGGCAGCUCCGACAGACCGCUAACAUGGGAACUUCCAUAUGCCGCAGGAGUGGCCCUAAAAAAACCAAAAAAAAUAAAAGCAAUUUAAAAAUGCCCCUCAAAGAUAGUGCUGAAGUGAUAUCUACCACUCCUAAGAAUAAGAGGGCUGUGAUAUGCCUUAAGGACAAAAUACAGUGUUAGAGAAGCUUCUCUCAGGCAUAAAUUAUAGUGUUGUGGGCUGUGAGUUCAAUGUUAGUCAAUGAUAUACACUGAAUAAUAUGUCUUUAGGAGUUCUCUUAUGGUGUGGUGGGUUAAGGAUCCUGCAUUGUCACUACAGUGGCUUGGGUUGCUGCUGUGGCAUGAACCCCUGGCCCGGGAACUUCCACAUGCCAUGGAUGUGAGCUUCUCCUCCCCGCCUCCAAAAGAAGAACACAUUGAAUAAUGUGUCUUUAAUCAGAAACACACAUGACACAAGAUUAUGGGUUCAGUUGAUAAAAAUUUUGUGACCUGAGGCUCAUAGGAACCUAACCCUGUAUUUCCCCUAGGAAUAGUGGUUCAGUAUUCACUAAUUCAGUGUUUGUAGCAACUUUAUAGAGUAUAACUACUACUAAUAAUGAGAAUUGAUGGUAUUUUAGAGUACAACACAUAGAAGUCAAGUUUUCCUCUCUUAGUGUCAGUCUGAUUUAAGUGUUUCUUUAAAAUUGUAGCUAUUGGAGUUCCCAUCGUGGCACAGUGGUUAACGAAUCUGACUAGGAACCAUGAGGUUGCGGGUUUGAUCCCUGGCCUUGCUCAAUCGGUUAAGGAUCUGGCGUUGCUGUGAGCUGUGGUGUAGGUCACAGACGCAGCUCGGAUCCCAUGUUGCUGUGGCUCUGGUGUAGGCCAGCAGCUACAGCUUUGAUUAGAUCCCUAGCCUGGGAACCUCCAUAUGCAGCAGGAGUGGCCCUAGAAAAGGCAAAAAGACAAAAAUCAAAAAAUAAAUAAAAAAUAAAAUGAUAGCUAUGUUACCAUAGCCCACAUUCUUUUUUUUUUUUUGGCCUUUUAGGGACGUACCUGUGUACCUGCAGCAUAUGGAGGUCCCCAGGCUAGGGGUUGAAUCGGAAGCUAUAGCCACUGACCUACACCACAGCCAUAGCAAUGCCAGAUCCAAGCCAUGUCUGCAACCUACAGCAUAGGUCACAGCAAUGCCAGAUCCUUAACCCGGUGAGUAAGGCCAGGGAUCGAACCUGCGUCCUCAUGGAUACUAGUCAGAUUUGUUUCUGCUGAGGCAUGAUAGGAACUCCAGCUUUCUUGAGUUUAAAAAAAUAAAUCCUUUACUGACUGCAAAAAUGGCUCCUAAAUGCAGUUUUGGAGGGGAUUGGCUUUAAAGCCAUUGUUGGUUUGAGUGGUUCAAAUAUCUUGCUAAUUUCAUAGGCUUUGAACCAAUUAUGAAGUAGAUAGUGUGGCAGUAGCUAUCAAGUUUGCAGUUUGUUUAGGAGUGUUUGUAUUUCUUUUUGGUGUUGAAGAAAUUUACAGUAAUCAUCAGUAGGGAAUUAUGAGUGCACAUCAUUGCAUUAAAACAUGGAAUUCAGCCCUACAUUGCCAUUAAUAGAAAAUGCAGUUUUUAUGUUAAUUAUAAUAAAAAGCAAGUGUUACUGAGCAAGUUUUUACUGAUUAUCCUAUGUAUUGCUAUGAUUACAGUUCCUAACAAAUAUGUUAUAUGUUAUUGAGGAAGUGGUAUAAUUCCUUGUGAUUUACUAAAAUGUAGAUACUUCCUAAAGGGACAACAUAGUAAAUUUUAUCCAUUUCUUACUGUUACUUUAUAUCAUUUUGGACCAUUGUACUUUAUAAAUAAACAUAGACAAUUUUGGUCAGUUAUACCUUACUGUGAAUGAGAUUACCAGAUGUUUUCAUGACCACAGAUUCCACCAGAAGGUAUCAGAGGCAAGAAAUGGGUUGGUGGGAGUUCAAAAGCACAUAGUGAGCUAAUCUGUGUAAACGGGCUUUUGUGGGUUGAAUUGUGUCCUUCUCAAAAAGAUAUGUUUGGAGUUCCCAUUGCGGCUCAGCAGGUUAAGAACCCACCAAGCAUUCAUGAGGAUGCAGGUUUGAUUCCUGGCUUCGCUCAUUGCAUUGAAGGAUCUGGCAUUGCUUUGAGGUGUGGUAUAGGUCGCAGAUGCAGGUCAGAUCUGGCGUUGCUGUGGCUGUGGUGUAGGCCAGCACCUGCAACUCCAAUUCAACUUUUAGCCUGGGAACUUCCAUAUGCUGUGGGUGUGGCCCUAAAAAGAAAAAAAGUUAAAAUGAGACCCUUAGCACAGGCACUAAUCUGGUAUGUCUGGUGUUCCUGCUGAGCCACAAUGGGAACUCCCUGCUAUUCUUAUUAAAAGGGAAAAUUUGGAUACAGAGAGAGGCACACACACAGGGAGAACAAAGAUUUUUCUCUUCCCACUACGUCCCUAGAAUUAUGCCCUGGAGGUACCUUGGGCCCAGCUACCCCAGUUCUCUCCCAGACAUGCCUUCUGCUUCUGCUUCUGCUUCUUGCUGGCAGGGGAUGAGAACUCUGGGAUCUCAUUGCCUUACCCUCAGCUUGUGGGACUCACCAUCCCCUGUGCUCUCUGGCAAGAUGUAUACCUCACAGACCAGACCACUGUCUCUGAAACCCUGAAGUCUGCUCACUGCUAGCUUCCUCACUGGCUCUCCUGGAUCCAGACCCUUCCUAGUCGCAGGAAACAGAAGAGUCUGACUCUAACAUUCUGUACACUAUCCGAGUCUUGAGUCUUUUCCAGGCAUUGGCUUUGACAUUUCAAAAGCUUAAUCUUUUGCCUUCAGUAGACUUUUCUCUUAAACUCUCCCCUGCUUACAGUUUUGAAGUCUCUUUUGAAAUGUAAAAAUAUCAGGAAUCAAUUCUGUGCUUUCUUUCAUUUUUUUUCCUUGAGUAAUAAAAGCGAAAUAAUUAGUAGCCUAAAGGGAAAGGGUAUGGGGAGGGGUAGAGAUAACAGGAAAGAAUAGAUAGGAAAGAGGGGGUAUCAGUUAAUGUUCAAAAUACUGUCCUGCCACAUAUGUUUAUUGUUCUUUUCUCACCACAACUUCACAGUGGAUUUGCUGAGAUCCCACUCUUUUUGAAGGAAACUACUCUGGACCAAUGGAAAUGGUUAAACCAUAGGAUUAUAUUACUUUUCGUUUGUGGGCACAUCCAGGUGGAAAUAAGUACUUGCAUUCUUAUCAGCAGAAGGAAAAUUUUUAGCAUAUAGGAAGAACUAUUGUCAGCAUCUGUGGAAAAAGCCUUAGCUUUACUCCCCCAUGGAAGAAAGCAAACGAAAGCCGCCCCAUGAAUUUAACUUGAUAGAUGUUGAUUCUCUGCCUGAAGAAGAGAACCAAGCUGGGAAAGCUGGACUGGAAAGUAGGAAGAGUUUGCUUCCAUAAGACCAAUGGUCUGUCUGUGACAGACAGUGGCUCAGUUUUGACAAGCAUGUAGAGAGUACAUACAUUGGCCGAAUCCUGCAUUGGAGGUCAGAGAUAUAAAGGUAAGUCAACACAGUUCUUAUCCUAGGCCUUCAAUGACUACUUGGAAGGAAAGAUGAAGCCCACAGUGCAACCUGUCAUGAUUGUGAGUAAUGCCAGAAAAGACUCAAAAUGAAAAACGCUCUGAAGUCCUAGAGGGGAAGUAGUCAGCUGGGGCUGGGGGUGGCUAAGAGAAGGCUUCUCACAAGGAAUAAUACUGAUGCUAAUUAGAACCUCCAUGUUGGUUCUAGCCAACAGUUAUUUUGUGAAAAUGAAAUAAAUUUGAGACUUUAUUGACAUUGCUGGUCUGCCCUAAUUCUUUUAUUUAUUUUUUUCUUAAUGAUCAAUUUACUCGUAAGUUUCCAUUUAAAAAAUGUAUAUAUAGAAGAGUUCCUGCUUUGGCACAGUGGGUUAAGAUUCUGACUAGAGCAGCUCAGGUCGCUAUUGAGGCACAGGUUUGAUCCCUGGCCUGGCACGGUGGGUUAAAGAAUCCAGCAUUGCCACAGCUGUGGUAUAGGUUGCAGCUGCUGCUCAGAUUCAGUCCCAUAAAUCCUGUGCUUUCUUUUGUGACUCUUUUUCCUGCUUCUCUCACACAUGUUCAAGUGUUAAAAUAUGCUUGAAGCUAUACUUCUACAGAGUAGACAUAAACGAUGAUUUCUUCUAAAUAAGCUGAAACUGGAGUCUAUGCAUUAUAUAUACAUCUCUUUGACAUUAAUCCUCAAAAUACCUUCCUUUCUUCCUUUCAAAGACUUCCAUUUUUGUUUUCUGCUCUGCAUUUUCUUCUCCACACUUUUCCUAUAGUUUGCCAGUAUCCUGCGGCCUGUGAUCCAGCAGCAUGCCCCAGGAUUCCUGAAAAGAAACACUUGGAGAAGCCCAGUACUGUGGUCUUGGUAUGCAGCCCCUCUUGUUGCUUUAAAAGUUCCAUGCAGUUCUGCACUUCCAAAUAUGUUUGCGCAUUGGAGCGUGCUUCUGUCUUUACUGUGAGGAGAUGCUCUGAGCCCUGCACUGCUCUCUUGAUAGCCCCUAAGAGUGUUUUCUGUUGUUAAAAUAUUUGCUGGAGCUUUCAGCUUCAACCUGUCUGCAGCCAUCUCUCCUUGAGCCAUCUGAGUCAAAUUGAUCCAAGGAGAAGGGAUUUGUCCUGGUCACAUUUUAAUAGGGAGAGAGCUUGAAGUAGUGUAACCUGGUAAAAAGAUCCCUUAACCCAAAACUCUGCUUUAUGUGUAGUUCCUAUAAGAGGCCGCCCUAGCCGCUAUUGCUUUUUCACCACUCUAGAUCCACUGGCAAGAGGGGCAGCCUUGGCUGAAGCUUACCUCACAUCCCUCUAUUAUGUAGGCCACAAAAGCACUUUCAAACUAUAAUGCAUUAUACAUUAUAUGUUAUUAUACAUUGUGUAUUAUUAUACAUUAUUGUUGCAAUUAUGUUAGAAAGAGAUACCCGUUAAAGAUCAAAGUCUGUAUGUAUAGAUCACACCCAUCUCUUGGACCUUUAUCACCAUUUAUGUAAACUACUUUGAGACUAAGUUUGUUCCUUGCGGUCAUUAAGAGUCACCCAUAUGACUGCAGAAGAGUCCAAAAGAGACUUCGACUUUGCAGGAAUAUUCCUAUUUUUUAAAAAAUAUGAUGAACAUUGAUUAAUGCUGGGUACCUGUGUAUUUUUAUUUUCAUCUAUGGUUUUUACUGCAUUUGUGUCUUCAAAUUAAAAAAAAAAAUUAACCCCCCUCUCUGCCCCCAAAGCAGAACUGCAUACCUGCUAUAACAUACUAAUAUAUAGGAACAAGAACCCAAUUCUGCUAAAUCAACUGGCUCCUAAAGAUUUUAUGACUUGGAAUAACUGAAUCUCACUGUCUCGUCCCAACAUGACCCCAAAGAGAAUGACUUGACGGGUUAAAUGUAUGUUUGGGCUCUAAAGUUGUACAGAUCUAGAUUCAGAACAAGGUUUGCCACAGAAUCACUGUGUGACUUUGGACAGGGGAAAAGUAAAUCUAAGUAGAUGUUCUCAUGUUUCCCCACUUCACGCUAGUACACUACCUCAGUGUGCUGUGCUAGGGGAGAAUCUGCCUGGACUGCGCACUGGAGGAGUUUAAGGUCUUGGAGCCUACGUCAGGUGGAACAUGCCCAACUUACUGGUCACCAUUAUAAUCUCACCAGGAUACCAUAUGGUAUUACCUAUCCAAAAAAAAAGAAAAGAAUUAAAGAAUAAAGGCAAUGCAAAACGUUGGAGAGCCAAUCUGAAAUCAAUUGACAGGCAUGAACAUUUGUUAAUAACAUGAGUAUAAGCAGAUGGAGAAGGAAUUGUACUGAACAUUCUCCAAAUAUAGAAACAAUCUACUGGAGAAAGUCAGACAAACAUGGUGUGUCCAAAAAUCUGUUUCCGUCUUAAAGCUUGAGUCUUUAUGGAGUAAGAAUUUUCAAAUGACCCCUUGCUUAUUCUUUUUUUUUUCUUUUUUGCAAAACUAAGGUAAAGGCGUUAAUGUUACAGUGUAUGAAUUAAACUUCAAUUUUAAAAUAGAAUGAAUUUUUGAGAAAUUAAUGGCGAUGACACAUUCAUACCAUGGGAUACUACUCAGCAAGAGAAAAAAACGGAAGUAUUGAUACACAAGUUGGAUGAAUCAUUAAGACAUUGUGCUAAUUGAAAAAAGCUGAUGUCAAGAGGUUACAUGCUGCUUCACCCCAGAUAGCCCUAGAAAAAGCCACAGGUUCUACAGCAAAAUAAACUGAUGGUUCCAAUUAUCCUUCCACUGAGGAAGAAACAACCCUGAGGAGAAGGCUAUAUAAAGCACUUCCUGGUUUAAAGGGGUCAACGUCUUGGACUUGAAUCCCAACUCUGAAAUGUAUCAGCUGUGCAACCUUCAUCUGCUUCAACUGAUCCUAAGACAUCACUUGGAUAAACUGCACAGAAGCCAAGGAACUGCCAGGUCUUAGACUAUGCUCCAUCUCAUCAAAGAGACUUCUGGUGUGUUUAACAAAAAGGAAAAACAGUGAAAAGAGGAGGUAACCCCAUUCUAUUUCUCUCUCGGUGACAAAUUGCUGGGAUCUACAAUUAUUUGAAGAUUCUAAAGAUAGAGCACUGAUGACCCAAAAGCUCUUCUCAAAUUUCAUUUAUUCUAAUAGCUUCUGAAAAACCACUCCCAGGAGUAUUAACUCUUAUUGUAAAGGUAGGAAGUUUAUGCAAUUUAUAGUAGUGCAUUGUAUUUUGUCACAUUGACUUUAUCUCACAAGAGCCUGUUUGUGUCUACUCUGCUUUGGUCAUGAGAAAUGCAUUAUCCAAUUACUUAUGUAGUCUCUUUGCUACUAUGGAAAUAGGCAAUUCAAUUCAUUGGUUAAGUCGCUAAAACGGAUGUCAUUGGAUCUCUGUUAAGUCUGACUAAGAUGCAUAACUCUGAAUAAUGCUUUGAUGUGUACUUCCUUCUAUGACUUAGGAAUUUACCUGUUGUUGAAUUGGCACUGAUGAAUUUUAGUACAUGAUUAUGCAAUUCCCCUAAGGCUUGUAAAUAAAACUACUCAAUAUAUCCAUC